This is a non-coding RNA of Caenorhabditis elegans, 91 nucleotides long. Lineage: Eukaryota; Metazoa; Nematoda; Chromadorea; Rhabditida; Rhabditidae. The record is from Ensembl.
GGCGGCGAUGGUUGGGUGGAUGAGGGCUUCGUCUAGUGGGAAUCGACGGUUUGGUUCGAUUCUCUACCCCUUCCACGACGCAUUGAUUUUA